Molecule: transfer RNA, 85 nt
Filed under: Bacteroidota bacterium
Lineage: Bacteria; Pseudomonadati; Bacteroidota
Description: Bacteroidetes bacterium (wastewater metagenome) tRNA-Leu
Rfam family: tRNA
About the family: Transfer RNA (tRNA) molecules are approximately 80 nucleotides in length.
Source: RNAcentral
GCCCGGAUGGCGGAAUUGGCAGACGCGCUAGAUUCAGGGUCUAGUCUCCGUAUAGGAGGUGGGGGUUCAAGUCCCCCUUCGGGCA